AUUGAACGCUGGCGGCAUGCCUUACACAUGCAAGUCGAACGGCAGCACGGGUGCUUGCACCUGGUGGCGAGUGGCGAACGGGUGAGUAAUACAUCGGAACAUGUCCAGUAGUGGGGGAUAGCCCGGCGAAAGCCGGAUUAAUACCGCAUACGAUCUUUGGAUGAAAGGGGGGGACCUUCGGGCCUCGCGCUAUUGGGGUGGCCGAUGGCGGAUUAGCUAGUUGGUGGGGUAAAGGCUCACCAAGGCGACGAUCCGUAGCUGGUCUGAGAGGACGACCAGCCACACUGGGACUGAGACACGGCCCAGACUCCUACGGGAGGCAGCAGUGGGGAAUUUUGGACAAUGGGCGAAAGCCUGAUCCAGCAAUGCCGCGUGUGUGAAGAAGGCCUUCGGGUUGUAGGAGCACUUUUGUCCGGAAAGAAAUCCUUUUCGAUAAUACCGAGA
RNAcentral lists this ribosomal RNA (444 nucleotides) under Burkholderia sp. 48(2011). Its description in RNAcentral is "bacterial SSU rRNA". It matches the Rfam family "Bacterial small subunit ribosomal RNA", at positions 30 to 468 of the family's 1533-position model. Lineage: Bacteria; Pseudomonadati; Pseudomonadota; Betaproteobacteria; Burkholderiales; Burkholderiaceae. The record is from RNAcentral.